Molecule: ribosomal RNA, 492 nt
Filed under: uncultured bacterium
Lineage: Bacteria
Description: partial 16S ribosomal RNA
Rfam family: Bacterial small subunit ribosomal RNA
Source: RNAcentral
UGGGGAAUAUUGGACAAUGGGGGCAACCCUGAUCCAGCAAUGCCGCGUGUGUGAAGAAGGUCUUCGGAUUGUAAAGCACUUUCGACGGGGACGAUGAUGACGGUACCCGUAGAAGAAGCCCCGGCUAACUUCGUGCCAGCAGCCGCGGUAAUACGAAGGGGGCUAGCGUUGCUCGGAAUGACUGGGCGUAAAGGGCGUGUAGGCGGUUUACACAGUCAGAUGUGAAAUCCCCGGGCUUAACCUGGGAGCUGCAUUUGAUACGUGUAGACUAGAGUGUGAGAGAGGGUUGUGGAAUUCCCAGUGUAGAGGUGAAAUUCGUAGAUAUUGGGAAGAACACCGGUGGCGAAGGCGGCAACCUGGCUCAUGACUGACGCUGAGGCGCGAAAGCGCGGGGAGCAAACAGGAUUAGAUACCCUGGUAGUCCACGCUGUAAACGAUGUGUGCUAGAUGUUGGGUAACUUUGUUAUUCAGUGUCGCAGUAACGCGUUAAGC